CCCCCCCUAAGAUGAGGCCUCCCUUGAGGGGCGUUGGAGACUACGACGUUGAUAGGCUGUAGGUGUAAAGCUGGUAACAGCAAAGCCGAGCAGUACUAAUACCCCGAACGACUUCCG
This 117-nucleotide ribosomal RNA is filed under the name Williamwhitmania taraxaci. RNAcentral describes it as "23S rRNA. Bacterial LSU". It matches the Rfam family "Bacterial large subunit ribosomal RNA", at positions 2793 to 2925 of the family's 2925-position model. Lineage: Bacteria; Pseudomonadati; Bacteroidota; Bacteroidia; Bacteroidales; Williamwhitmaniaceae. The record is from RNAcentral.